CUCAGUUCUACUCCACCUCUGUGAGUCGGGUUCCAGUCCAAAAGCAACAAAAGUUCAUCAGCCCUCGUCGCUAUAAGCAAGAUGAAGAAACCAGGACCAAGAGGGGGUAAUGUGGCUUGUCCAUAGUCACACAGCUGACGCGCUGAAUUUUCUCAUCUGUUAAAUGAAGAAGUUGGACUUUCUGUCAAAAUGGCUAUCCGAACAGAGGCAAACUGGCCAUCUCCCCCAAACCCCUGAAGUUUGCGCCAACCCAAAUAAUAAGAAAUGCAAUAAGAAAUUACAAUCUAACUCUGUAACAACUACAGGCAGAGACUCAAAGAGGAAAAAAAAAUGGAUUCUCCAUAAGGACUACAUGAAUACCUAGAAGAAAUGAAAA
This is a non-coding RNA of Phascolarctos cinereus (koala), 376 nucleotides long. The record is from RefSeq and is a predicted model, not a curated record. NCBI's taxonomy places the organism in Eukaryota, Metazoa, Chordata, Mammalia, Diprotodontia, Phascolarctidae.